Long non-coding RNA from Myripristis murdjan (pinecone soldierfish), 88 nucleotides. RefSeq lists it as uncharacterized. The record is from RefSeq and is a predicted model, not a curated record. The transcript is spliced from 3 exons. Lineage: Eukaryota; Metazoa; Chordata; Actinopteri; Holocentriformes; Holocentridae.
UUACUGAUCACAGUAACCAUGUAUGUCUCGCUCUGGAGUUGGCCAUUUAACUCCAAAGAAUACACUCCACUGCCAUUUGAAGGCAAAG